AAUGGGUCUGUUUUAAUACCAGUGAACUGUAUAUCUAGUUCCCUGGCUUCGCUUUCAGACCAAAUUGAAUUCUUCAAAUUUAUCCUAGUGUGAUUGUUACUUGAUAUAAUGUGCACUGGCAUUUUGAAGAUACAAAU
Molecule: small nucleolar RNA, 137 nt
Organism: Plutella xylostella (diamondback moth)
Lineage: Eukaryota; Metazoa; Arthropoda; Insecta; Lepidoptera; Plutellidae
Product: small nucleolar RNA psi28S-1192
Source: RefSeq, a predicted model, not a curated record